This 73-nucleotide transfer RNA is filed under the name Candidatus Daviesbacteria bacterium RIFCSPHIGHO2_01_FULL_38_8. RNAcentral's name for it is "tRNA-Ala". It matches the Rfam family "tRNA". Rfam says of the family: Transfer RNA (tRNA) molecules are approximately 80 nucleotides in length. Their secondary structure includes four short double-helical elements and three loops (D, anti-codon, and T loops). Lineage: Bacteria; Candidatus Daviesiibacteriota. The record is from RNAcentral.
GGGCCCAUAGCUCAGUUGGUAGAGCAGUACUUUUGCAAAGUAAAGGUCAGGAGUUCGAAUCUCCUUGGGUCCA